Molecule: ribosomal RNA, 505 nt
Filed under: uncultured Glomus
Lineage: Eukaryota; Fungi; Glomeromycota; Glomeromycetes; Glomerales; Glomeraceae
Description: SSU rRNA
Rfam family: Eukaryotic small subunit ribosomal RNA
Source: RNAcentral
AGCAGCCGCGGUAAUUCCAGCUCCAAUAGCGUAUAUUAAAGUUGUUGCAGUUAAAAAGCUCGUAGUUGAAUUUCGGGAUCAGUACGCUGGUCAUGCCUUUGGUAUGCACUGGUGUCACUGGUUUCUCCCUUCUGAAGAACCGUGAUGUCAUUAAUUUGGUGUCGCGGGGAAUCAGGACUGUUACUUUGAAAAAUUAGAGUGUUUAAAGCAGGCUCACGCUUGAAUACAUUAGCAUGGAAUAAUGAGAUAGGACGUUUGACCCUAUUUUGUUGGUUUCUAGGAUCGACGUAAUGAUUAAUAGGGAUAGUUGGGGGCAUUAGUAUUCAAUUGUCAGAGGUGAAAUUCUUGGAUUUAUUGAAGACUAACUACUGCGAAAGCAUUUGCCAAGGAUGUUUUCAUUAAUCAAGAACGAAAGUUAGGGGAUCGAAGACGAUCAGAUACCGUCGUAGUCUUAACCAUAAACUAUGCCGACUAGGGAUCGGAUGAUGUUAAUUUUAUAAUGACU